Melanotaenia boesemani (Boeseman's rainbowfish) is the source of this 197-nucleotide long non-coding RNA. RefSeq lists it as uncharacterized. The transcript is spliced from 4 exons. The record is from RefSeq and is a predicted model, not a curated record. Lineage: Eukaryota; Metazoa; Chordata; Actinopteri; Atheriniformes; Melanotaeniidae.
GCAGAUUCUCGCACAGUGCCAUGGGAAAGCGUGGAAGAUAAUAGUCAGAUAGAACAGAGAGCACAACCUUUCAGAGUUCCACAGGAUUACAUUGAAGUUGCCACCCAAAGACAGGAGCAAAGAACUGAACCUUUCACAGUGGUACAGGAGAAUUUCCCUCAAGAAGGAGGUGAUGUCCACUCCUCCAAUGGACUAAC